Molecule: ribosomal RNA, 430 nt
Filed under: uncultured archaeon
Lineage: Archaea
Description: bacterial SSU rRNA
Rfam family: Archaeal small subunit ribosomal RNA
Source: RNAcentral
UACCAGCUCUCCGAGUGGUGUGGAUGUUUAUUGGGCCUAAAGCAUCCGUAGCUGGCUGGGCAAGUCCCCUGUUAAAUCCACCGAUUCAAUCGUUGGAGUGCGGGGGAUACUGCUCGGCUAGGGGACGGGAGAGGCCGACGGUAUUUUCGGGGUAGGGGUGAAAUCCUAUAAUCCCGGAAAGACCACCAGUGGCGAAGGCUGUCGGCUAGAACGCGCCCGACGGUGAGGGAUGAAAGCGUGGGGGGAGCGAACCGGAUUAGAUACCCGGGUAGUCCCAGCUGUAAACGAUGCAGGCUAGGUGUUUGGGCGGCCACGUGCCGCUCUAGUGCCGCAGGGAAGUCGUUAAGCCUGCCGCCUGGGGAGUACGGCCGCAAGGCUGAAACUUAAAGGAAUUGGCGGGGAGCACCACAAGGGGUGAAGCUUGCGGUUU